GUGCUCACUGCAGCAGCACAUAUAAUCAGAGUGGAAAGAUACAGAGAAUACUGGCAUGGUGCUGCACAAGGAUCAUACUGUAGAAGAUCAUUUUUGAACCUUUUUC
Molecule: small nuclear RNA, 106 nt
Organism: Peromyscus eremicus (cactus mouse)
Lineage: Eukaryota; Metazoa; Chordata; Mammalia; Rodentia; Cricetidae
Source: RefSeq, a predicted model, not a curated record